Papaver somniferum (opium poppy) is the source of this 701-nucleotide long non-coding RNA. RefSeq lists it as uncharacterized. Lineage: Eukaryota; Viridiplantae; Streptophyta; Magnoliopsida; Ranunculales; Papaveraceae. The transcript is spliced from 4 exons. The record is from RefSeq and is a predicted model, not a curated record.
CAUUACGUUCCCUUGAAAUAUUCGACUAUAUAAAGCCCCUAAAAAGUUUUCCGGCACAGAUUCUCAAUGCUUACCAAUCGCCUUUUUCCUAUCAAGAUGCAUGUAAGUUUCUGUCAUUUUAGUACUCUUCCGGGGAAAAUUUUAUGAUUUUGGUAGCAUUGCAUGUUUUUGUUGUUGCAGAUUUUGGAGCACCACAGAAUUAUAGUUCAGAGUGAAGCGUCAAUCUCAGCGAUGAUGAUGGAUUCUUAGGAUAAUGGAUUUAAUAUGCCAACCACAGGUGAUUUUGAAGUAAAGUGAGGCGAGUUUUGGUGAGCCUGGUGACAGAUUUUCAAUGCCCUUGCAUUUGCCGUCAGGGUAAGAACUGUUGGAGGUUGUUCUUACAGGGUGUUACAAGAUUUAUGUUGUAUGAUCCUUUUUUGCAGUCGAUUAUGUGAUUGUACUACAUGGACAAAUUCACUUUAUAUUUCAUAAAUAGAUGUUCUAAAUUGUGUCCGUCCAUCUGCGAAUAAUUUGGGGUGGCCAUUGUGGGAACACAAAUUGAUUUGUGUGUGAUUGUUCACGGUUUCUUUAUGGACCCUUAAUAAGUUCUGGAAUUCCACCGGUCAAUGAAGAAACACCACCGCUUAAUAGUCUUUACACUGUGAACAAAUACUACCUAUAAAAUUUAUUCAUUUUGAGUUGUUUUCGUUAAUACAAUUUGA